UACGUAGGUGGCGAGCGUUGUCCGGAUUUACUGGGUGUAAAGGGCGCGUAGGCGGGGCAGCAAGUCAGUCGUGAAAUACCGAGGCUUAACUUCGGAGCUGCGAUUGAAACUGUUGUUCUUGAGUGUCGGAGAGGAAAGCGGAAUUCCUAGUGUAGCGGUGAAAUGCGUAGAUAUUAGGAGGAACACCGGUGGCGAAGGCGGCUUUCUGGACGAUAACUGACGCUGAGGCGCGAAAGUGUGGGGAGCAAAC
This 250-nucleotide ribosomal RNA is filed under the name uncultured prokaryote. RNAcentral's name for it is "partial 16S ribosomal RNA". It matches the Rfam family "Bacterial small subunit ribosomal RNA", at positions 524 to 773 of the family's 1533-position model. The record is from RNAcentral.